GUUUUGCAUUGGCUUCAGAAGAAGGUGAUGAUGCGCGCCGUGGCGCGCCCAUUAAAGUCGAAUUGUUCGUCUCACUCUCAGUCUCUCUCCCUCUCCGACCACCACCAACUCCUCCACCGACCCAUUUCCGAACUCAACUCCCUCAUCACCUCCUACGUUCGCCGAGGUCAAUCCAUCAUCGCAUGGAACCUUUUCCGCUCUCUCCGUCGCUUACGUUCCGACAUCGAUGCUCACACAUUCACACCUCUCCUGCGUCCAUCUUCUCCAUCACUCGGUAAACAAUUCCACGCACAAAUGAUCAGAACCGGUGCAGAUUCCGGAACCAUUGCAAAAACCGCACUCCUUGAUAUGUAUUCAAGACACGGGUCAUUGGAUGAGUCACUUAAGGUGUUUGAUGAAAUGCUUCACAAGGAUGUUGUUGCUUGGAACGCUUUGCUUUCGUGUUUUUUGCGGUGCGGUCAUCCUCGUGAGGCGGUAGGUGUUUUGAGGGCGAUGGGGAGGGAAAAUGUUGAGCUUAGUGAGUUUACAUUGUGUUCUGUUUUGAAGUGUUGUGCUUCUUUGAAGGCUUUGGAACUUGGUAGGCAGGUUCAUGGUUUGGUGGUUUUGUUGGGGCGUGAUUUGGUUGUUUUGAGUACUGCUCUUAUUGAUUUUUAUUCUAGUGUUGGGUAUGUUGAUCAUGCUUUGAAUGUGUUUUAUGGUUUGAAGGGUUGGAAAGAUGAUAUGAUGCAUAAUUCGCUGGUUUCUGGGUGUAUUAGGAAUAGGAGAUAUGGUGAGGCUUUUAAAGUUAUGAGCUUGGUGAAUCUUAAUGCUGUUGCACUCACUAGUGUUUUGGUUUGUUGCUCCGAGGAGUUAGAUUCAUUGACAGGGAAACAGGUGCAUUGUGUUGCGGUUCGUCGGGGUUUUACUUUUGACACCCAAUUAUGCAAUGUCUUGUUAGACAUGUAUGCAAAAUGUGGAAAGAUUUCGCUUGCUCGGUCUGUGUUUGAUGGGAUUUUUCAGAAGGAUGUGAUUUCAUGGACUUGUAUGAUUGAUGCUUAUGGAAGAAAUGGGUGUGGACAUGAAGCUAUCGAGCUUUUUCGGAAGAUGAGGGAGGAGGGGAGUGAGGUGUUGCCAAAUUCUGUGACUUUUUUGUCAGUUCUAUCAGCUUGUGAUCACUCUGGAUUGGUGGAGGAAGGCAAACAAUGUUUCAAUUUGUUGAGAGAGAAAUAUGGUAUUGAACCGGAUCCGGAGCACUACGCGUGCUUCAUAGAUAUCUUAGGUCGAGCCGGUAAUAUAGAAGAUGUUUGGUCCACUUAUCACAAUAUGAUUGAAAUGGGUAGUAGACCUACUGCAGGAGUAUGGAUAGCAUUGUUGAAUGCUUGCAGUCUUAAUCAAGAUUUUGAAAGAGGUGAAUUUGCUGCAAAGCAUCUCUUGCAGUUGGAACCCGACAAAGCGAGCAAUAUUGUGCUUGUAUCAAACUUUUAUGCAGCCAUUGGUAGGUGGGAUUGUGUUGAUGAACUGAGAAGCAUCAUGAGGACAAAAGGGCUGGUCAAGGAAGCUGGGAAUAGCUGGAUUGGUGUUAAGGGCUUCAAUGAACAUGCUCAUUCUUUUGGAUCACCAGUUACUUCUUACUAGUUACUGUUUUGAAUGUUGAAGCAAGCUAGCCGAGAGGAUGAAUGAAGUUAUUAUGUGGGCCAUGGCCCAGUAGUACUUCACACCACCCCAAAAACGCUCAAAGCCAGAAGGUGCAACCUGGUUGGCCCAAUAUCCGUCAACUCAUAAAAAAGUUUAAAUGGAAUGCUAAGGAGUUUUCUGCCACCAUUGUACCAACUGCUUGAUUCAGCUACUUGUUAUUUGGCAUGGCCUCCUAUCCACAACCAUAAUGUCACUCCUAUUAGAGUAGUCUAAUGAGAGUGCUGUGCAGGAAAAUUUGCAAAAAUUGAGCUUAGGAUCAAAGAUAAGCUUUUGCAGGGUUGGUGGAAGCUCAGAAAAAGAUUAUCUUGCCUCUAUUACUUCAGUACUUAGUACUAGUUUUUCUACUCUUAUGCACUUUGAGUUCAAAGAAUCAAAAUUUACAGCUUCGAUGGCUUGACACCCAUAAUAAAUGUCUAGACACCUGAAAAUGAUUCUCUUGUGAGUCACGAGGCAAGAGAGUCCAGUGAAAUUUGGACCUUCGAGAAGUAAAAGGGGGAAACAUGAGUGUUUAUGGUGAAAUUUUAUUCCGAGCUAAUCCCGACCCGUAGGCCCUCAGACCUGGAAGUGAGUUUUCUCCUCUGUAUUUUGUGUAUCUACGCGCCCCAAAAUCAAUGCUUGGGCACCCAGAGAAUUCUUUAAAUGUCAUUUAGUGUGAAAAGUAGUUGCACAACACACUUGUUACAAUUAGCAAUUUUGCCGUUAUUUUUUCUGCUGUAUUCAGUUAGUAGUUGCCUUCAGUCAACCAUGAACCAUAGUUAUCCCUUUCAGUUACUCCAUGUAAUUCUGUUAGGCUAUUUCAGCUGAUAUAAAUAUCAGAAUGUGAGAUUUUGUAAUGCUCAGUUGAAAUAAUCCAAUUUAUCAAUCAAUUUUGGCGCUGCCAUAUCCAA
Molecule: RNA transcript, 2561 nt
Organism: Cicer arietinum (chickpea)
Lineage: Eukaryota; Viridiplantae; Streptophyta; Magnoliopsida; Fabales; Fabaceae
Gene name: pentatricopeptide repeat-containing protein At5g66500, mitochondrial
Source: RefSeq, a predicted model, not a curated record